RNAcentral lists this ribosomal RNA (377 nucleotides) under uncultured bacterium. RNAcentral's name for it is "bacterial SSU rRNA". It matches the Rfam family "Bacterial small subunit ribosomal RNA", at positions 521 to 896 of the family's 1533-position model. The record is from RNAcentral.
UAAUACGAAGGGUGCAAGCGUUACUCGGAAUUACUGGGCGUAAAGCGUGCGUAGGUGGUUCGUUAAGUCUGAUGUGAAAGCCCUGGGCUCAACCUGGGAAUGGCAUUGGAUACUGGCGACCUAGAGUGCGGUAGAGGGUGGCGGAAUUCCCGGUGUAGCAGUGAAAUGCGUAGAUAUCGGGAGGAACAUCCGUGGCGAAGGCGGCCACCUGGACCAGCACUGACACUGAGGCACGAAAGCGUGGGGAGCAAACAGGAUUAGAUACCCUGGUAGUCCACGCCCUAAACGAUGCGAACUGGAUGUUGGGUGCAACUUGGCACUCAGUAUCGAAGCUAACGCGUUAAGUUCGCCGCCUGGGAAGUACGGUCGCAAGACUG